AGCAGUGAGUUAUGGCUUGGAGUGCGAUCUUAAUUCUCAGCUCAGGAAUUGAACCUGGGUUGCCUAGAUUAAAAACCAGGAAUCCUAGUCAAUACACCAGCUAGAGGCUAGAAAGCAGUAGUGCCCUGAUUCUUGCCCUGCCCCUCCCCCCAUUGAAAGCAAGAAUGUUUCAAGGAGCAGAGAUGGUAAAAAAAACAGGUAUAGUUUAUUAUUUGAGUCCCACUACAACUUGUGGGAGAGCACAUAGAGAAGUAGUUUAAGUCAGAAGCAAAGAAGUAAUACACACCCUAAAGAGGAGUACGAGUGCCUGAACACCCUGAGUGAGGAACGCACCAGAGAGGUGAUUUAAAUCACUUACAUAGGACAGUUCUGGGUCUUUGUUUUCAUAUGGGCAGUUGCCUUGUUUUAUUUCUCAAACUUGACUGGGCACAGGACCCUCCCCAAUAUGCAUGUGCAAAGACAGAUUCCAGAGCAAAGAAUUCUGGGACGGUAUCAAGACUUCUUAUGGCCUGGGGCCCCCUCCUUUUCUGACCCCUGAGUCUUUCUUUUUUAUUAUUAUUUGUCUUUUUGCCGUUUCUAGGGCCACUCCCAUGACAUAUGGAGAUUCCCAAGCUAGGGGUCUAAUCGGAGCCGAGGCCGCCAGCCCACGCCAGAGCCACAGCAACGCGACCCCUGGAUCUUUCUGCACUCGUGUAAUGGAAGGUCUCCUUGGCCCCAGGAAUGAUCGAAGUGGUCAUCUUAUCUUUUCCCUCCAGACGAGCUCAGCUCUUGCCAUUAACUUUUUUCUUAAGGUGUCAAAGAGUAAGCCAGGCCCUGGAGUUCCCGUCGUGCCUCAGCGGUUAACGAAUCCAACUAGGAACCAUGAGGUUGCGGGUUCCGUCCCUGGCCUUGCUCAGUGGGUUAAGGAUCCAGCAUUGCCAUGAGCUGUGGUGUAGGUUUCAGACGUGGCUCGGAUCCCAUGUUGCUGUGGCUGUGGUGUAGGUGGGCAGCUACAUCUCCAAAUGGACCCUUAGCCUGGGAGACUCCAUAUGCUGUGGGUGCGGCCCUAUAAAAG
RNAcentral lists this long non-coding RNA (1054 nucleotides) under Sus scrofa (pig). Its description in RNAcentral is "lncRNA (ENSSSCG00015028936.1)". The record is from RNAcentral. Lineage: Eukaryota; Metazoa; Chordata; Mammalia; Artiodactyla; Suidae.